AAAUAAGAAGCAAAAUAUUGCAUUUAAUUUCGACUUAAAAAUUAGGGUAAAAUGUGCCCCUUAUUUA
RNAcentral lists this transfer RNA (67 nucleotides) under Compsulyx cochereaui. Its description in RNAcentral is "tRNA-Arg". Lineage: Eukaryota; Metazoa; Arthropoda; Insecta; Lepidoptera; Sphingidae. The record is from RNAcentral.